Molecule: ribosomal RNA, 991 nt
Filed under: uncultured bacterium
Lineage: Bacteria
Description: bacterial SSU rRNA
Rfam family: Bacterial small subunit ribosomal RNA
Source: RNAcentral
UGUGCCAGCAGCCGCGGUAAUACAGAGGGUGCAAGCGUUAAUCGGAAUUACUGGGCGUAAAGCGAGCGUAGGUGGCUUGAUAAGUCAGAUGUGAAAGCCCCGGGCUUAACCUGGGAACGGCAUCUGAUACUGUUAGGCUAGAGUAGGUGAGAGGAAGGUAGAAUUCCAGGUGUAGCGGUGAAAUGCGUAGAGAUCUGGAGGAAUACCGAUGGCGAAGGCAGCCUUCUGGCAUCAUACUGACACUGAGGUUCGAAAGCGUGGGUAGCAAACAGGAUUAGAUACCCUGGUAGUCCACGCCGUAAACGAUGUCUACUAGUCGUUGGGUCCCUUGAGGACUUAGUGACGCAGCUAACGCAAUAAGUAGACCGCCUGGGGAGUACGGCCGCAAGGUUAAAACUCAAAUGAAUUGACGGGGGCCCGCACAAGCGGUGGAGCAUGUGGUUUAAUUCGAUGCAACGCGAAGAACCUUACCUGGUCUUGACAUAUCUAGAAUCCUGCAGAGAUGCGGGAGUGCCUUCGGGAAUUAGAAUACAGGUGCUGCAUGGCUGUCGUCAGCUCGUGUCGUGAGAUGUUGGGUUAAGUCCCGCAACGAGCGCAACCCUUGUCCUUAGUUACCAGCGGUUUGGCCGGGAACUCUAAGGAUACUGCCAGUGACAAACUGGAGGAAGGCGGGGACGACGUCAAGUCAUCAUGGCCCUUACGACCAGGGCUACACACGUGCUACAAUGGUAGGUACAGAGGGCAGCUACACAGCGAUGUGAUGCGAAUCUCAAAAAGCCUAUCGUAGUCCAGAUUGGAGUCUGCAACUCGACUCCAUGAAGUAGGAAUCGCUAGUAAUCGCGGAUCAGAAUGCCGCGGUGAAUACGUUCCCGGGCCUUGUACACACCGCCCGUCACACCAUGGGAGUUGAUUGCACCAGAAGUGGUUAGCCUAACCUUUUAGGAAGGCGAUCACCACGGUGUGGUUGAUGACUGGGGUGAAGUCGUAACAA